RNAcentral lists this non-coding RNA (754 nucleotides) under Pongo abelii (Sumatran orangutan). The record is from RNAcentral. Lineage: Eukaryota; Metazoa; Chordata; Mammalia; Primates; Hominidae.
AGAAGCUGGUCUGGCAAUCCUCAUGGCACGUGAAGAGGCGGUCAUCCGUGAGGACCAGGCAGCAGGCGAGAAGAGGGACAUCUGUGAAUCCCUCAUCAGAGUCUGGCCACGCCGGCACCCUGACCUCGGACUAUGGCUCCAGAGCUGUGAGAAAGGAUGUCUGUUGUGGAAGCUCCCCGUCUGCGGUGCUUUGUUCCAGCAGCCAAGCUGACUAGGACAGGCCUCCACUUCCUCUUGCUCAAAGAACCUCCUAGAGGUGGGAAGGGUUUCCAGGCAGGCAUGCAACUGCCCUCAGGGGGUGUCCCGGUCUGCCCUGGAUGAACAGCUGAUGCUGGGAGUGGACAGAUUUCCUGGGAUCCCAGAGCCUGAGUUCUAAGAUACAGAAAACCGUGUCUCUUGGUCCCAAAGCAGGCUCCUGCCAAGCCCAUGUGUUCUUGCUCCGGCCCCUGUGAUUCUCCUCAGCACACGCAGCUGCAGCCAAGAGGAGCCCUGAGAGCAGGGCAAGGAGACGCUGCCCUGGCGGCUGCAGUUGCACAAUCUCCAAAUUGCUGAGGGGACACCUCCAUCCAUGGAUCCGUCCUUGCUCUGGCUCUUCCGGCAAGGCCCACCCCUCCGACUCCUCUAAGGUAGCCCAUGGGCCCAACCUAAGGAGACUGAGCCGCCUUCUUCAGCUUGCACGGUCAGCAAUGCAGGUCUUGCUAACAGCAAGUUUGAGAGGGACCUCCCUUCCUGGGACAUACAACCCGUGGUACAG